UUUUUUGAAGUGUUUCACAUUAUCUUUUCAUGAUAAAAAUAAGCUCUAUUUUGCUUCAAAUU
RNAcentral lists this transfer RNA (62 nucleotides) under Bulinus globosus. RNAcentral's name for it is "tRNA-Glu". Lineage: Eukaryota; Metazoa; Mollusca; Gastropoda; Planorbidae. The record is from RNAcentral.